Molecule: ribosomal RNA, 619 nt
Filed under: uncultured bacterium
Lineage: Bacteria
Description: bacterial SSU rRNA
Rfam family: Bacterial small subunit ribosomal RNA
Source: RNAcentral
CCUACGGGAGGCAGCAGUGGGGAAUUUUGGACAAUGGGGGCAACCCUGAUCCAGCCAUUCCGCGUGAGUGAAGAAGGCCUUCGGGUUGUAAAGCUCUUUCGCAAGGGAAGAAAACUUAUGAUCGAAUAAAUCAUGAGGUUGACGGUACCUUGAUAAGAAGCACCGGCUAACUACGUGCCAGCAGCCGCGGUAAUACGUAGGGUGCGAGCGUUAAUCGGAAUUACUGGGCGUAAAGCGUGCGCAGGCGGUUUUGUAAGUCGGAUGUGAAAUCCCCGGGCUCAACCUGGGAACUGCGUUCGAAACUGCAAGGCUAGAGUGUGUCAGAGGGGGGUAGAAUUCCACGUGUAGCAGUGAAAUGCGUAGAGAUGUGGAGGAAUACCAAUGGCGAAGGCAGCCCCCUGGGAUAACACUGACGCUCAUGCACGAAAGCGUGGGGAGCAAACAGGAUUAGAUACCCUGGUAGUCCACGCCCUAAACGAUGUCAACUAGUUGUUGGUAGAGUAAAAUCUAUGAGUAACGUAGCUAACGCGUGAAGUUGACCGCCUGGGGAGUACGGUCGCAAGAUUAAAACUCAAAGGAAUUGACGGCNGAGAGNGCGAGACGACGACGAGGGAGGAGG